Molecule: ribosomal RNA, 520 nt
Filed under: uncultured Glomus
Lineage: Eukaryota; Fungi; Glomeromycota; Glomeromycetes; Glomerales; Glomeraceae
Description: SSU rRNA
Rfam family: Eukaryotic small subunit ribosomal RNA
Source: RNAcentral
CGCAGCCGCGGUAAUUCCAGCUCCAAUAGCGUAUAUUAAAGUUGUUGCAGUUAAAAAGCUCGUAGUUGAAUUUCGGGAUCAAUAUGUCGGUCGUGCCUUCGGUACGUACUGGUAUCAUUGGUCUCUCCUUUCUGACGAACCAUGAUGUCAUUAAUUUGGUGUUAUGGGGAGUUAGGACUGUUACUUUGAAAAAAUUAGAGUGUUUAAAGCAAGCUAACGCUUGAAUACAUUAGCAUGGAAUAAUGAAAUAGGACGUUCGAUCCUAUUUUGUUGGUUUCUAGGAUUGACGUAAUGAUUAAUAGGGAUAGUUGGGGGCAUUAGUAUUCAAUUGUCAGAGGUGAAAUUCUUGGAUUUAUUGAAGACUAACUGCUGCGAAAGCAUUUGCCAAGGAUGUUUUCAUUAAUCAAGAACGAAAGUUAGGGGAUCGAAGACGAUCAGAUACCGUCGUAGUCUUAACCAUAAACUAUGCCGACUAGGGAUCGGAUGAUGUUAAUUUUUAAUGACUCAUUCGGCGCCUUAA